This is a non-coding RNA of Camelus ferus (Wild Bactrian camel), 73 nucleotides long. The record is from Rfam. NCBI's taxonomy places the organism in Eukaryota, Metazoa, Chordata, Mammalia, Artiodactyla, Camelidae.
GGCGGGUACAGCUCAGUGGUAGAGCCCAUGCUUAGCAUGCACGAGGCCCUGGGUUCAAUCCCUAGUACCGCCA